This is an RNA transcript of Physeter macrocephalus (sperm whale), 3492 nucleotides long. It is a transcript of the gene named radial spoke head 10 homolog B, with no coding region annotated. NCBI's taxonomy places the organism in Eukaryota, Metazoa, Chordata, Mammalia, Artiodactyla, Physeteridae. The transcript has 19 exons. The record is from RefSeq and is a predicted model, not a curated record.
ACGAUAAUGACAUUGGGGUUGUAAAACGAGACAUAAUUUUUAUUUUUCAGGUAAAACUCAUCAACGCCUUGAAACAAACAGCUUCCAACCAAAGGAGUCAUUUGAUACUUACCUGUAUAAGGCAAACCUUAGGUCUUCUAAAGGCAAUGGUGAAAGAAAAGAAAAGAGCAGAUAAAAAAGGGGAUAAGUUGGCCUGUUCUCCCUCGUCUCUCUCCGAUUAUACAGAGUUUUCCAAACAAGAUGGCAACGCUGCUAGGCAAGAUAUGUCCCCAGGUGCUGUGCCACCGUUGGACAUGCAGCUCAAAGAACCAGGACUCACAGAGUGCAAAAAUGAUAAUCUGCAGAAUGAAGAUACCACCCAGUAUGAAGAGCCCGUUCUGACCAAACUCCUAGUAGAAAGCUAUGAAGGGGAAAAAGUCCGUGGACUGUACGAGGGAGAAGGCUUUGCCAUCUUUCAAGGAGGCUGUACCUACCACGGUGCGUUUUCAGAAGGACUCAUGCAUGGACGGGGGACUUACGUCUGGGCUGACGGAUUGAAAUAUGAGGGGGACUUUGUGAAAAACGUCGCCGUGAACCAUGGCGUCUACACGUGGCCGGACGGCAGCACCUACGAAGGGGAAGUGGUCAACGGCCUGAGACACGGAUUCGGCAUGUUCAAGUGCAGCACGCAGCCCGUGUCCUACGUCGGCCACUGGUGCCACGGCAAGAGACACGGCAAGGGCUCCAUUUAUUACAAUCAAGAGGGCACCUCUUGGUACGAGGGAGACUGGGUGCACAACGUCAAAAAGGGCUGGGGGAUAAGGUGUUACAAAUCCGGAAAUAUAUAUGAGGGUCAGUGGGGGAACAAUAUGCGUCAUGGGGAAGGCAGGAUGAGGUGGCUGACAGCCAAUGAAGAGUUCACCGGUCAGUGGGAGAACGGGGUCCAGAACGGUUUUGGCACACACACAUGGUUUCUAAAGAGAAUCCCCUACUCCCAGUAUCCUUUGAGAAAUGAGUAUGUAGGAGAGUUUGUGAAUGGAUACCGUCAUGGCCGUGGAAAGUUCUACUAUGCCAGUGGAGCCAUGUAUGAGGGAGAAUGGGUUGCCAAUAAAAAACAUGGCAUGGGCCAGUUAACUUUUAAGAAUGGGCGUGUGUAUGAUGGCCCAUUUUCCGAUGACCACAUAGCAGAGUUUCCAAAUCUUGAAGGCGAACUGAUGAGCCACCUGGACACGGCUCCAGAAUCUGCCCUCAGGAGCCAGGAUUGCAGACCCUCCGUCAGUGCCGAAAUCACCAGAAAGCUUGAUGGCAGUGAAAGUAAUUCCAUGUUAGGCUCGAGCAUCGAGCUGGAUCUCAGUUUGUUGCUGAAAAUGUACCCGGAGAGAGACCAAUCAGAAGAAAAGAAGCAGGUAGAAUAUGCUAUCUUAAGAAAUAUUACAGAAUUAAGAAGAAUCUAUAGCUUUUACAGCAGCCUAGGAUGUGAUCACUCUCUGGAUAACACCUUUCAGAUGACAAAGCUUCACUUCUGGAGGUUCCUAAAAGAUUGCAAAUUCCAUCAUCAUAAGAUAACCCUCGCCGAUAUGGACAGGGUACUAAGUGCCAAUAAGGACAUACCAGUUGAAGAAAUUCAUUCUCCAUUUACAACAAUACUUUUGAGAACAUUUUUGAAUUAUCUCCUGCAGUUGGCUUACCACAUCCAUCACAAAGAAUACCAAGACAGAAGCCCGUCACUCUUUUUGUGUUUUACAAAACUGAUGAAUGAGAACAUUCGCCCAAAUGCCUGCCGUGUAAAAGGCAAUUUAUUCUGCGAGGCCCACCGGACACUCUAUUCAAUGAAUUACGUGGAUAAGUGCUGGGAGAUCUACACAGUUUACUGCAGACCAAAUGCAGCCCCUCCCCAUGAGCUCACAAUGGACAUGAGACACUUCCUCUGGAUGUUGAAGAGCUUUAAAAUGAUAAAUAAAGAAUUAACAGCAAGCAAAUUUGUGGAGGUCAUAGCAGAGGAUAAUCCCUUCAUGCAUGAUGGAACUGACAGCAACUUUAAACUUGAGCUGGUUUUCCUGGAAUUCUUUGAAGCUCUGUUAAGCUUCGCACUCAUCUCUGUUACUAACCAAUCGACUGAAUUCUAUGUCAAUUUUCCAAAUGAUGCCUUGUCUGGAAACAAAGCUGGAAGCACUUAUACAAUGAUAAAUCAGAACACCCAGAACAGGAGUCCAAGUGCGCUAAGAAGCCAGGAGUCUGAGGUGCAGUAUGGCAGCACUAAGUCGUCUUCAAGCAAGUUAGGAGUCUUGCUUGACGUGAGCAAGAUAAGGAAAUCAGAGCCCAAGAUCAAGAAGUCUCUAAGUGAUGGAAAAACUUCCAAAAUGAAUUUUAAAUCUCCAGGAAAGGAGCUAACCUUUCUUUUAUCUCAAAAUGAGAAAAAAGAAAAAUCUGAGGAUGAACAAAAGGAAAAAUUCAAUACAUGGGUCAGUAACAUGUACAUCUUUUUUGUGGACAUCCUCUUCCAAGCAUAUAAACAUGAAGAAACCCUCAAGGAGAAAGUAAAGGAAAACAGGCUACAUAAUGAAGCGAUGGCCCUUCAGAGGAAGAUGGAGAAUGAGGAGCUGGAGGCGAGGUAACUCAAUAAAACCCCUUGGCUCCAUCCCUCCCUCCCGGGCUCUCGGGCAUCUUUCUUUCCUGUCCUCUGUAGCCGCCAGAAGCUUCAGGACCAAACACUUCCAUUAAAAGUCUACAACCUCCGGGCUUCCCUGGUGGCACAGUGGUUAAGAAUCCACCUGCCAAUGCAGGGGACACGGGUUCAAGCCCUGGUCCAGGAAGAUCCCACAUGCCACGGAGCAACUAAGCCCGUGCGCCACAACUACUGAGCCCGUGCUCUAGGGCCUGUGAGCCACAACUACUGAGCCCAUGAGCCACAACUACUGAAGCCCGCGAGCCACAACUACUGAAGCCCGCAAGCCUAGAGCCCGUGCUCCACAACAAGAGAAGCCACUGCAGUGAGAGGCCUGCGCACCACAAUGAAGAGUAGCCCCUGCUUGCUGCAACUAGAGAAAGCCCGCAUGCAGCAACGAAGACCCAACGCAGCCAAAAAAAUAAAAAAUGAAUAAAAUAAUUUAAAAAUAUAUAUUAAAAAAAAAGUCUCCACCUUCCGAAGGGUGGCACGUCCUCAUGUGCGGCUGGGAACCCGCAGCCACCAGUUCUAUCCUGGUUGUCUAAGGCAUCCCCAGGCAUCCACGAGGAGGCAGCGUGACGUAGAUCCAGACUGCCUGGGUUCACAUCCCAGCCUCAUCACUUAUAUCACCUUGGUGACCUUGGGUGUGGUCUGUCCCUGUGUGCCUGUUUCUGCAUCUUUAAGGUGGAGGUGAUACCUCGUAGGACUGUUGUGAGGACCGAGUGAGCUAGUGUUUGUGAAGCAUCGAGAACAAUGCUUGGUGCGUGGCUGAACAGCUUGAGAGAGGAAGAGACCAAAAGGCAAGACUAUGAGGUCUCCAUCACUGUGAUCAAGGAACCAGUGGAUGC